Non-coding RNA from Gallionellales bacterium RIFCSPLOWO2_02_60_31, 88 nucleotides. NCBI's taxonomy places the organism in Bacteria, Pseudomonadati, Pseudomonadota, Betaproteobacteria, Nitrosomonadales. The record is from Rfam.
CCCUCCGAGGGGUGCUGCAGCGGGUCUGGACAACCAGUCCCCCGUCAGGCUCGGAGCAGCGAUUUCGUUCCAACGGCACCUGUUCAUU